GCACAAUGGGGGAAACCCUGAUGCAGCGACGCCGCGUGAGUGAAGAAGUAUUUCGGUAUGUAAAGCUCUAUCAGCAGGGAAGAAAUACUGACCAUAGGGUCAGCAGACGGUACUUGACUAAGAAGCCCCGGCUAACUACGUGCCAGCAGCCGCGGUAAUACGUAGGGGGCAAGCGUUAUCCGGAUUUACUGGGUGUAAAGGGAGCGUAGACGGCAGCGCAAGUCUGAAGUGAAAUGCCAGGGCUUAACCCUGGAACUGCUUUGGAAACUGUGCAGCUAGAGUGCAGGAGAGGUAAGUGGAAUUUCUAGUGUAGCGGUGAAAUGCGUAGAUAUUAGGAGGAACACCAGUGGCGAAGGCGGCUUACUGGACUGUAACUGACGUUGAGGCUCGAAAGCGUGGGGAGCAAACAGGAUUAGAUACCCUGGUAGUCCACGCUGUAAACGAUGAUUACUAGGUGUUGGGGGACCAA
Molecule: ribosomal RNA, 469 nt
Filed under: uncultured bacterium
Lineage: Bacteria
Description: bacterial SSU rRNA
Rfam family: Bacterial small subunit ribosomal RNA
Source: RNAcentral